This is a long non-coding RNA of Marmota monax (woodchuck), 1670 nucleotides long. RefSeq lists it as uncharacterized. NCBI's taxonomy places the organism in Eukaryota, Metazoa, Chordata, Mammalia, Rodentia, Sciuridae. The transcript is spliced from 3 exons. The record is from RefSeq and is a predicted model, not a curated record.
GGAAGCACUGUUACUAGGCGGCACAGAGGGGAACCUGAGCUGGACUACUAAGGAGCAGGGCUGUUCCGGUGGAAACAGUGAGGUGGACAUUUAGAUUUCUUCUGCCUCUUGGUUAUUGUGACCAGUGCUGCAGUGAACAUGAUGAAUCCACUGAAAGACAAAUUAGGAAAACUACCCCAUCCGCAAUAGCCUCAAAAACCAAAAAAAAAAAUUGGAAUCAAUGUAACAAAAGAGGUGAAAGACCUCUACAAUGAAAUCUACAGAACACUAAAGAAAGAAAUUGAAGAAGACCUUGGAAGAUGGAAAGACUUCCCAUGUUCUUAGAGAGGCAGAAUUAAUAUUGUCAAAAUGGCCAACCAUCAAAAACAACAUACAGAUUGAAUGCAAUCCCCAUGAACAUACCAAAAACAUGCUUCAAAGAACUAGAAAAAAAAGUACUUGAAUUCAACUGGAAGAAUAGGAGACCCAGGAUUGCCUGAAAACCUGAGCAAGAAGAGAAAUUAGGAAUGCAGGAAGCAUCCCAACACUGUCAUCUCAAAAUAAACAUGAAGAACAAUGGAGAAUAGAAGACACAGAGACAGACCCACACCUACUUACAGUCACCUGAUACUUGACAAGGUGACAAAAUUUAUGUUGGAGAAAAGAGCCUUUUAAACAAAGGGUGCAGGGAAAACUGGAAAGCCAUACGUUGGAUUAAACUAGAUCCCUAUCUCUCACCCUGCACAAAAGUCAAAUCAAGACGGAUCAAAGACUUAGGAAUUAGAACAGAAACCUUGCAACUGCUAGAAGAAAACAUAGGGUCACUAUGACAACAUAUUGAUGUAGGCACCAACUUCUUUAAAAAAAAUAAACAAACCUUGAAACUCAAGAAAUAAAACCAAGAAUCAAUAAGUGGGAUGCCAUCAAAUUAAAAAGCUUCUGCCCAGGAAAGGAGAUGAUUAUGAGUGUGAAGAGAGAGCCUACAGGAUGGGAGAAAAUCCCUGCCAGCUACUCUUCUGGCAUGGGAUUAAUAUUCAGAAUAUAUACAGAACUAAAAAAGCUUAACAUACUACUACUACUACUACUACUUCUUUUACUACUACUAGUACCACCUAAUCAAUAAACGGACAAAAGAAAUUAACAGAAAUUUCUUAAAAGCAAUGAAUGUAUAAGAAAUAUAUGAAAAAAUGUUCAAUAUCUCCAGCAAUCAGAGAAAUGCAAAUCAAAAUUACACUAAGAUUUCACCUCACUUCAGUCAGAAUGGCAAUGAUCAAAAAAUUCAAAUAAUAAUAACUGCUGGUAAGGAUGUAAGGAAAAAAGUAUACUUGUACAUUUCUUGUACAAUUGCAAAUUAGUACAGCCACUAUGGAAAACAGUGUGGAGGUUCCUCAAAAAACUAGGACUGGAAUCACCAUAUGACCCAGCUACCCGACUCCUCAGUAUUUACCCAAAAGAACUAAAAUCAACCUGCUAUAGUGAUACAGGCACACUAAUAUUUAUAACAUUGCAAUUUAUAAUAGCCAAAUUAUGGAAUUAGCCCAGGUGCCUGUCAACAGAUAAAUGAAUGGAUAAAGAAAAUGUAGUAUAUAUGCACAAUGGAGUAUUGUUCAGCCAUAAAUAAGAAUGAAUUUAUGGUAUUUGCUGGUAAAUUAAUGGAUAUGGAGAAUAUCAUGCUAAGUGAAAUAAACCAG